AUUGAACGCUGGCGGCAGGCCUAACACAUGCAAGUCGAGCGGAUGAAGGGUGCUUGCUCCUGGAUUCAGCGUCGGACGGGUGAGUAUUGCCUAGGAAUCUGCCUGGUAGUGCUGGAUAACGUCCUGAAACAGCCGCUACUACCGCCUACUUCCUGCGGGUGCAAGUGGGGGAUCUUCGGACCUCACGCUCUCAGAUGAGCCUAGGUCGGAUUUGCUAGUUGGUGGGUUAAAGGCCUACCAAGGCGACGAUCCGUAACUGGUCUGAGAGGAUGAUAAGUCACACUGGAACUGGGACACGGUCAAGACGACUAAGGGAGGCAGCAGUGGGGAAUGUUGGACAAUGGGCGAAAGUAUGAUACAGUGAGGCGGAGUGUGUGAAAGAGGUGUUGGGAGUGUAAAGAACGUUAAGUGGGGGGGAAGGGCAGUAAGUUAAGACGUAGCUGUAUUGACGGUAAUAAGAGAAGAAGCACCGGCUAACUACGUG
This 484-nucleotide ribosomal RNA is filed under the name uncultured bacterium. RNAcentral describes it as "partial 16S ribosomal RNA". It matches the Rfam family "Bacterial small subunit ribosomal RNA", at positions 30 to 507 of the family's 1533-position model. The record is from RNAcentral.